Molecule: long non-coding RNA, 2081 nt
Filed under: Triticum aestivum (bread wheat)
Lineage: Eukaryota; Viridiplantae; Streptophyta; Magnoliopsida; Poales; Poaceae
Description: long non-coding RNA (TAES_LNC028103)
Source: RNAcentral
GGCCCAUGAAGCUUUUUUUUUCUUUGCAUGUUGAUCACUACUACACUGUUCAGGUUCUUAAUCAAGGUAGUAGUAAAUUCUCCGUGUUUUCCUCUGUACAAAUUUCGACUUGUUUGAUGUUCUUUAAUUUUAUUUCUCCUAAUCAAUCAUCUAAGUUCCCAAUGAAAGUAGCUUUGUGGGUGUGUGUGUGUGAUCAUGCUUCAUUUACUUCUAUCGCUAAGUUUCAGUUAUCUCAAUAUGACCACUAUAAAAGCCAGGCGAUGUUUGCUUGAGAAAAUAGUGUAAUAAACAGAGAUUCUUUGUGUUGCAAAUAAUUCCAUAUACCGAAAGAACAACUCAACCCAGUUUGCAUGCAGCUGGCACAUAUAUUCACCAGAAACUGAUUGACUAUGAUUGUGGGUCGCAAGCAAAGGAAUGCUAACCGUGGUGGUGGUGGUGAUUGAAGAGCCCUUAAUCAAUUCGGCCCUGUAGAUUGGAGCAGCAACCUGGGAUAUUGCACCAUCUAGCUCCGUCUAUCUGAUUCAUCUUCUUUUCUUGGUCUAUCAAUUGGAGGAAUCUACAGGUAUGUGCUGCAUGUUUUCUGCUAACGGGAGAGCAACAUAUUUGUGAAGACUUUCGUUUCUUGUUUACUUUCAGUCUGUCAUAAUUUUUUAACUGAAGACAUAUUAUUGUUAGUUGGAUGAGAGCUGAUGCUAUACUGCCAUUAGAUAGACUAGGGCGCAAACUCUCUUAAUCUGUGCAAAUAACAGUGCAAACCAACCUCGUAUUCUUUGAGGAACAAACUGAUAUUAUGGUUACAGUUUUUAACAGAAGCAAGGAAUCUUAGUAAGCAUUAUAUAUUGAUGUUACAUGAUUUGCUGCACCUUAGGACCAUCAGCUAGGCAUGGCCUUACAAAAUACGUUCAUUAUCUGGCCAACCAUUCUUCCUUUUGCUACCUGAACUGACAACAAGCAUUGUAGUAACGUGAUGUUUAUGUCAAUCCCAGAUUCGUGAAUAUGUUCCUGACCUCGCACAAUCGAUAGUCGGUCUGAUCUCGUCCUCCAAUGACCAAGAGUUCCGAGACGAAUGUGUGGUGCCCCUCGCGUAACAUAGGUGAGAUGAUCUUGCACUCACCUUUAAUUAUAUUUUCCCUACAGUCUUCUAUGUGUAAUAUUGGCACUACAUUAAUGUAAUUUCUAUUAUAUUCAUGUUGUAAAGAACGGCUUCAGCAUCAUAGGGUGUGCAAUAAUAAGAGCAAAAUUUAUCAUCCAAUUCACAUAGAAAAUUCAGUAUCAAAUGUACUUAAACACACUCUGUUCACAGUUAGACCUGUUUGUCAAUGUAUUUUGUCGCUUUUUAUUUACCCCCUUGUUGUACUCCUUUCUCAUCACUGUAUUUGUCCAUCAGCCAUCCCUUCUUUUCCCUUGUGCUUCCCUAACCUUAUUACCGAUGCCUUAGAACAAAUAUGAUUGCUUAAGAAUGGGCGCAUAAUUUUUAUAGUAAGCCAUGUCAUAUGGUAGGAGGUAGCGUGGCUUUGGUUUAUUUUCUGAUAAGGAUAUCUUAUGUAACCAAACUGUUUGCAAUAUCUUCUAGUUUUUAGAUAUUGUUUUAGAUCUUUGGGAUCAUUGGCAACUCGCAAGUUUGAACAAACUAUCAUUUCUAUGAUUGUUGAAACAUAGAUGUUGUUUUUUGCAGGGACAUGGCAGAAAGUAGCAAGUCCACAAGUUGAUCUAAGAUGUUCCGGUGAUCGCUUUUGUUCAUAACAUGGUAGAUACAUUUUGUUCAUAUGGAAGUUGAUGCCGGCUUGGUGAUUGAAGGAUUGGUCUCUUUCAUAAUACUCCCUCUGUACCUAAAUACUUGUAGUUGGGGGAAACUUGACACGUCUUGUAUGUCGACUUAUGUAUUACCUUCAUGGUUGUAGCAAACUUGAGUGAAGAUAACAAAUGUUCAAUAUAUGUUGAAUAAAUGUACUAGUGAAUGGUGUCUUGUGAUGAAUAGAAGAGUGCAAUUAUUUGUAUAUGUAUUGUGCACCGAACAUGAGUUGAAUACUACAAAUGUAAUUUUAUUGAAAAUAUGGUGCAAAUGCAUUUUGUGCUGAAAU